Molecule: ribosomal RNA, 301 nt
Filed under: uncultured bacterium
Lineage: Bacteria
Description: partial 16S ribosomal RNA
Rfam family: Bacterial small subunit ribosomal RNA
Source: RNAcentral
CAGCCGCCGCGGUAAUGCGUAGGUGGCAAGCGUUGUCCGGAAUUAUUGGGCGUAAAGGGCUCGCAGGCGGUUUCUUAAGUCUGAUGUGGAAGCCCCCGGCUCAACCGGGGAGGGUCAUUGGAAACUGGGAAACUUGAGUGCAGAAGAGGAGAGUGGAAUUCCACGUGUAGCGGUGAAAUGCGUAGAGAUGUGGAGGAACACCAGUGGCGAAGGCGACUCUCUGGUCUGUAACUGACGCUGAGGAGCGAAAGCGUGGGGAGCGAACAGGAUUAGAUACCCCGGUAGUCCCUGUCUCUUAUAC